UUUGGAAUUUUGGACAAUGGGCGAAAGCCUGAUCCAGCGACGCCGCGUGGACGAUGAAGGUCUUCGGAUCGUAAAGUCCUUUUGCUCGGGAACAAUAUCUUGAGCGUACCGAGAGAAUAAGAGGUUGCUAACUCUGUGCCAGCAGCAGCGGUAAUACAGAGACCUCAAGCGUUAUCCGGAAUCAUUGGGCGUAAAGCGUACCGAUAGGUGGUUUUACAAGUCAGAAGUGAAAUCUUCAAGCUCAACUUGGAAUCUGUCUUUUGAAACUGUAAAACUAGAGAGGCAAAGAGGAAGCUGGAACGAACGGUGUAGUAGUGAAAUGCGUUGAUAUCGUUCGGAACACCAAUAGCGUAGGCAGGCUUCUGGGUGCCACCUGACACUGCUAGGACGAAAGCGUGGGGAGCGAAUGGG
This 411-nucleotide ribosomal RNA is filed under the name bacterium. RNAcentral's name for it is "partial 16S ribosomal RNA". It matches the Rfam family "Bacterial small subunit ribosomal RNA", at positions 355 to 776 of the family's 1533-position model. The record is from RNAcentral.